Molecule: non-coding RNA, 112 nt
Organism: Acanthosepion pharaonis
Lineage: Eukaryota; Metazoa; Mollusca; Cephalopoda; Sepiida; Sepiidae
Source: the annotation of a GenBank genome assembly
UACGACCAUAUCACGUUGAAAUACCGCUUCCCGUACGAUCACCGAAGUUAAGCAACGUCGUGCAUGGACAGAAUCUAAAUGGGUGACCGCUUGGGAAUACCAGGUGCUGUAA